Dioscorea cayenensis subsp. rotundata (Guinea yam) is the source of this 107-nucleotide small nucleolar RNA. The record is from RefSeq and is a predicted model, not a curated record. Lineage: Eukaryota; Viridiplantae; Streptophyta; Magnoliopsida; Dioscoreales; Dioscoreaceae.
AUUCCAUGUUGUGAGCAUUUACUUAGCAUCUCCUUGUACCUCUCCCAAGUGUCGUACAAGGAUUCAGACUCCAACUAUAGAAAGGAAGAGAUAUCACUCCUCAAGUU